GAUGAACGCUGGCGGCGUGCCUAAUACAUGCAAGUCGAGCGAACAGAUGAGGAGCUUGCUCCUCUGACGUUAGCGGCGGACGGGUGAGUAACACGUGGAUAACCUACCUAUAAGACUGGGAUAACUUCGGGAAACCGGAGCUAAUACCGGAUAAUAUAUUGAACCGCAUGGUUCAAUAGUGAAAGACGGUUUUGCUGUCACUUAUAGAUGGAUCCGCGCCGCAUUAGCUAGUUGGUAAGGUAACGGCUUACCAAGGCAACGAUGCGUAGCCGACCUGAGAGGGUGAUCGGCCACACUGGAACUGAGACACGGUCCAGACUCCUACGGGAGGCAGCAGUAGGGAAUCUUCCGCAAUGGGCGAAAGCCUGACGGAGCAACGCCGCGUGAGUGAUGAAGGUCUUCGGAUCGUAAAAAUCUGUUAUUAGGGAAGAACAAAUGUGUAAGCAACUAUGCACGUCUUGACGGUACCUAAUCAGAAAGCCACGGCUAACUACGUG
RNAcentral lists this ribosomal RNA (497 nucleotides) under uncultured bacterium. Its description in RNAcentral is "partial 16S ribosomal RNA". It matches the Rfam family "Bacterial small subunit ribosomal RNA", at positions 28 to 507 of the family's 1533-position model. The record is from RNAcentral.